AAUGAACGCUGGCGGUAUGCUUAACACAUGCAAGUCGAACGAAUUUUCCUGGAGCUUGCUUCAGGAAAGUUAGUGGCAAACGGGUGAGUAACACGUGGGAAUCUACCUAUCAGUACGGAAUAACAUUUGGAAACAAAUGCUAAUACCGUAUACCCUCUAAGGAGGAAAGAUUUAUCGCUGAUAGAUGAGCCCGCGCAAGAUUAGGUAGUUGGUAGGGUAAUGGCCUACCAAGCCGACGAUCUUUAGCUGAUUUGAGAGGAUGAUCAGCCACACUGGGACUGAGACACGGCCCAGACUCCUACGGGAGGCAGCAGUGGGGAAUAUUGGACAAUGGGCGAAAGCCUGAUCCAGCAAUACCGCGUGAACGAUGAAGGCCUUAGGGUUGUAAAGUUCUUUUAGUAGGGAAGAUAAUGACGGUACCUACAGAAAAAGCCCCGGCUAACUCCGUG
Molecule: ribosomal RNA, 449 nt
Filed under: uncultured organism
Description: bacterial SSU rRNA
Rfam family: Bacterial small subunit ribosomal RNA
Source: RNAcentral